ACUUGCGACCGAGGUCGGAUGUCCCCGGAUGGUUGUUAAUGGAGAGAACUCAGCAGGCUUCGUUGUAUUAAGUAGCCUCAAAAGCAGAUCCUUGAUUUGUCUGUGAGAAACUGAAAAUCAUCUUUUAAGAAGUUGUGCUUCGAUUCUCCGCCCACACUCCCAAUUCCUUAAUUAUGCUGCAGAAGUAGGGGCUUUUUUUUUAACAUCUCUCUAUCUGGUGCUGAUCUCACUGAAUGAUGACUUUCUGUUUCACUGGUAUUCGAAGCUUUCCUAAGCUUUGGAAGAACAACCCAUACCUUGACCUAAGCCCAGGACACUCUUCUCUCUCUCUCUUUCUCAAAGACUGUUACGGCAUCUGGAACCAACAGAAGUGGUUUUCUCUUAAAACAGUGUCUGCACAAAAUACUAAAGCAGUGAAUCUGCUGACUGCCAAGGCCAGAUAUCUCAGGAAAGGAGAUGAAGGCAGUAAUAAGCAAGUUUCUUCUGAUUCCCAUCUUUUUGCAGCUGGAGCGGCUAAGAAGAGAUCAGAGAUGAAUCCUCAUAAGGAAGAUCAUGCCUUGCCACCUGUGAGGAACACUAUUCAACUCCCAACAAAACCUUUGAAUUCAGAAGAGUGGGAUAAACUCAAGGAAGAUUUCAAAGGAAAGGCUAAAUUUGAAAGUUGGAUCAUUUCUCAGAUGGCCCACUCCCAUAGCUCUGUAGAUGUGGCCAAAUCUCUGUUAGCCUGGGUAGCUGCAAAAAACAAUGGUAUUGUAGGCUAUGAUUUGCUGGUCAGGUAUUUGUAUCUCUGCGUCUUUCAUAAGCAGACAUCGGAAGUUAUUGAUGUCUAUGAGAUCAUGAAAGCCAGAUACAAGAGAUUAGAAUCUGAAGGGUAUACUCUCCUCAUCCAGGGAUUAGUCCACUCAGACAGAUGGAAAGAGGCCUUGCUGCUGUUAGAGGAUGUCAAAAAAGUCAUGAUCGCUUCAAGAAAGAACUACAAUGACUGUAUAGAGGGAGCCCUUCUUCAUCAAGAUGUAAACCUAGCUUGGAAUUUGUAUCAGGAAUUGUUAGGUCAUGAUCUUAUUCCUAUGCUGAAAACUUUAAAGGCAUUCUUUGAUUUUGGAAAAAACAUAAAAGAUGAUCAGUAUUCAAACAAGCUACUUGACAUUCUUUUGUAUCUAAGAAAUAAUCAACUGUAUCCUGAGGAAUCAUUUGCACAGAGUAUAAAAACAUGGUUUGAGAGUGUUCCUGGAGAACAAUGGAAAGGACAGUUCACAACAGUCAAGGAAAGCGGUCAGUGUUUGGGCUGUGGAAAAACCAUGGAGUCUAUUCACCUGAGUCCAGAAGAGUAUGAAUUUCUUAAGGGCAAAAUCAUGAGGGAUGUGAUAGAUGGAGGUGAUCAGUAUAAAAAGACAACACCUCAGGAACUCAAGAGAUUUCAGAACUUUGUAAAAUGCUGUCCUCCUUUUGAUAUCGUCAUCGAUGGGCUCAAUGUUGCCAAAACAUUUCCUAAAGCUCGUGAAUCUCAAGUUCUUUUGGAUGUGGUCUCUCAACUAGCCAAGCGGAACGUGCAGCUGCUGGUCCUGGGCCGAAAGCACAUGCUAACACAGCACUUGAGGUGGAGAAAGGAUGAGAUGAAAAAGGUGCAAAAGCAAGCCAGGUGCUUCUUUGCUGAAAACAUCUCAGAGGAUGAUCCGUUCCUUCUGUAUGCCACACUGCACUCGGGGAACCACUGCAAAUUUAUCACAAAAGAUCUGAUGCGGGACCACAAGGCCUGUCUACGUGAUGCCAAGACCCAGCGCCUCUUCUUUAAGUGGCAGCAGGGACAUCAGCUAGCAAUUAUUAAUAGGGUUGCAGGAUCAAAAAUAACCUUUCAGUUUAGAUUCCUGCAAAUACAAGGAAUGUCUCUUGUGUGAAGCAAAGGGAGAAAAUCCAAAGGCGAGUUAUUAUGGAAAAAUACACUAGUCAAUGCAUAUCCCCUGUUAUGACACAGUGGUACAAACAACUGGAGACUCGUGGCACAUACCAUAUGAUGAAAACACGGUGGAAAGAUACUCCUAUGAAGUGCCAACCAAAUGGCUUUGCCUUCGCCGAAAGACGUGAAGACUCUCCCCCAUGCUAAACUUGUGUUGGGGUGCCCUUCUGGUUGGCGUCAGAGCACUUCAGUUGAUGCUUGUUUAGCAGUGCUCCUGCGUGAUCCACUCUGUCCUGUUUGGUCCAGUUGGUUUGCAUGUCAACAGAUUGACUUUUUUUAAUGAAAUAAAAUAUAAAA
This is an RNA transcript of Mirounga angustirostris (Northern elephant seal), 2251 nucleotides long. It is a transcript of the gene named protein only RNase P catalytic subunit, with no coding region annotated. The record is from RefSeq and is a predicted model, not a curated record. The transcript is spliced from 8 exons. NCBI's taxonomy places the organism in Eukaryota, Metazoa, Chordata, Mammalia, Carnivora, Phocidae.